Dioscorea cayenensis subsp. rotundata (Guinea yam) is the source of this 825-nucleotide long non-coding RNA. RefSeq lists it as uncharacterized. The transcript is spliced from 3 exons. The record is from RefSeq and is a predicted model, not a curated record. Lineage: Eukaryota; Viridiplantae; Streptophyta; Magnoliopsida; Dioscoreales; Dioscoreaceae.
GCCUCCAUGUUUUCUCAUCUCCUUCCUAGAGUUUCUCCAAACCGUACCUUCUUCAAAAGCUUGAGUUUCAUGGUCUUAAGGAAAUCAAGUACUUUUCCUCUCAUCAAACCAAAGUUGGUUAGGUGAUGAGAAUGUGUCGUGCAGCAAGGAGUGGAAGGAUAUCCAUGGGCUUUUCUCGCCUAAGUUUUAGGAGGUCCCACGGCCAGCCUGUUGAGGUGGCAUGCUGACUAGCUGAUUACUACGAAGGCCAGUUCAGGUGGGAGUGUAGAGCCCUGACUGAAUAUUCAUCGCGUAGUCGGAGUCACCAACCGGUGAACCGAUGGGUCAACGUCAAGGGCAUGAGUAACUUUGAACCCGAUGUUCAGUAUUUUAGAGGAUUUGAAGUUGUAAACCGUAGUUGAGGCAAAAGGCUUUCUUCACUCUAUCUUUUUGUUAUAUUGUUUUAAUGUUUGCUUGCAUAUAUGAUUCCGCUCUAAACUAUUAUUUUUUUCCUUUUGGUAAAGUAUAUAUGUUGGUGAUUUGUUACUAUUUUUGUUGUUGGUAUCUUCUGCUGGGGUUGUGCUAAUUUCCCCUCACUGAGUAACUGUGGUUGCUCACCCCCUCUUUCCUCUCCCCAGGUGUCAGUUCAGUGAAGCAAUGCAGACGUGGUGUGCAUGGCAAGAGUUGGUUUUAGAGUAGUUACUUGAGUUAAUUAUGCAUGUUCUCAGUUAUUGGCGUGUAGAGUAUGGAAUCCCUUAAUAUAAGUAACUUGUUAACUUAUGUAUUCAUUUCUGUAUCUUAAAAACCCUUGUAUUAGUUGUGAUCUAAGUGUUGCAUGAGAGACCA